GUUAACAUUUGUCCAAGGUAUAUAUUAUUGGUAGUAUUGUAAUUCUCCUAGAUUUGCUUUUAAAAAUGUUGAGGUAAUGAGUUAAAAGAAAUCAAUUGAUUUAGUAAACGACUAAAGUCAAAACGAUAUAUGUAACUGAUAAAAAAUAAGAAGAUAUUUUAUUCAACGAAAACGUCGACAAUAACUAACAAUAAGUUCAACGACGUAUGAUUAAGCAGACAGAGACAGUUUGUCCAAUAAAUUUAAAUAAGUUACAUAGCUGAUAUAUUACAAUUGCUAUUUGCUUUUAUCAAUGCACUUUGAUGUUCACCUUUUUUUUUGUUUUCAGUAUAUUAUGGAAAACGAAGAUGUAUAUGUGUCAUAGGGUUGCCAAUGUUUUCCCAAAGUAAAUACACAUUUCACAUGUUUCAUCUUAUAAGAAGAAAAAAAAGAAAAUACACAUUUUUAAAUAUAUUAAAUCAGUACAUAUGGCCAAAGACUGGAACACAACUAAAGGCUUCAGGAUAUUUGUCCAAAUCAAACAAUCAAACAGCAAAAGUUUCAUUAUCAGUUUCAUCUUGUUUCAUAUCUUAUAUAAAAGAGGGACGAAAGAUACCAAAGGGACAGUCAAACUCAUAAAUCUAAAUCAAACUGACAACGCCAUGGCUAAAAAUGAAAAAGACAAACAGAAAAACAAUAGUACACAUGACACAACAUAGAAAACUAAAGAAUAAACAACACGAACCCCACCAAAAACUAGGGGGGAUAUCAGGUGCUCCGGAAGGGUAAGCAGAUCCUGCUCCACAUGUGGCACCCGUCGUGUUGCUUAUGUGAUUACAAAUCCGGUAAAUAGUCUAAUUCGGUAGGUCACAUUCAUGAAAGGGAAGGGGAUUGUAGUUACGACGUAAGGAAGAGUCGUAAAAAUAAUUUGAAAGAAUAUUAUCAAUUUGUUAACGUAUUUAUGCACAGAAUUUACAGGAAGCAUUUCAUCCUACAUCAAAACCAAGACAAGCAUACAAUAAACAUGGAGUUCAAUGUGAUUUAACAAGAAACUUCCCAUUAAAAAUUGAGACUGCUUCCCGGGCAUACAAUUAUCUAAAAUCUAAUUAUUAGUUUGAACCCGUACUUUUGUAUAUAACAGACUGAAAAUGUUCAGUUUAUCCAUUGAUGAAUUGGUUGAGUUUUUUUCUUAUUAAGAUGUAAAACAUCUCUUCAUAGAAUUUUCAUACUCAUGUAAUUAAUAUGUUCAAUAAAUCUGUAGCGUUU
RNAcentral lists this long non-coding RNA (1245 nucleotides) under Mytilus galloprovincialis (Mediterranean mussel). Lineage: Eukaryota; Metazoa; Mollusca; Bivalvia; Mytilida; Mytilidae. The record is from RNAcentral.